This is a long non-coding RNA of Musa acuminata AAA Group (dessert banana), 3773 nucleotides long. RefSeq lists it as uncharacterized. The record is from RefSeq and is a predicted model, not a curated record. The transcript has 5 exons. NCBI's taxonomy places the organism in Eukaryota, Viridiplantae, Streptophyta, Magnoliopsida, Zingiberales, Musaceae.
GCGUUUGCGUUCGUAUGUGAGGAGGGCGAGAGAGGCGCCGCGACGGCUCUGGAAGCGGCGGAUGGAUCUGUGAGGAGAUGAGGAACCAAGCGAUCUCUGAUAUCCGUGAUGCAUUCCACGAUAGUUUUCAAUCUGAGAUCCGCAAUCCGUUGCUCGAGCCGUGCGUCCUCCUCUCCUCUCCUCGGCCUGGUGAUGGAACUUUUGAGUAUUCUCUCUGAAGGCCGCUCCUUGUUCGCCUAUUUCUCCCCUAUGAGUUGUCGAGCUCCGGUCAUGUUUCUGAUGCCUGGAAACCCUAGUUUUUUCUUCUAUUGUUAUAUCUCGUUUUCUCGUAUCUUGCUUAUUGCUCUCUUUUUGUGGUUCGAACUAGAGAUUGCAUUAUGUUGGAGAUUAAUUUGAACCUUCUUUAGGUCUUUGUUGUCUGAAAAACCUAGUUAGUUACUUGCAGAGUCUAGAUGUGACUCCGAGAUUGUAAUCGGUCGUCACUACCCCAAAUUUUGUGUUAUUUCUUGGAUUUUUCCCCAUUUUGUACGGUUCUCUUCUUAUUGUUGGAUUUAAAGUUCUAUUUGUUUGUAUUAUUCUUAAUGUUUCAGAGUUUUUGUGGCUUUAUACCUCCUCUUUUCACAGCUAUACGAUAUGUAGAUUCUAUUCUUAAUGUUUGAAAGUGUUGUUGGCUUUGAUUUUGAUACUCUGUGCUUUCUUUUGGGUUUAAAAGUCCAAGUUUUUUAUUGAGAUUUAAAUGAGAAAUCAAAGUUCGUGAAACAAUAAAUGGAUUUUUGCUAGACAUCACGGAAAAAGCUGCUGUACAGAUUCAUUUUUUCUUGCUUUACUUUCCAUGAAGUGCCUAACAAAUGGUGGAAGUAUCUUCAGAUGUCCCUAUAUGAGACUUAGUGAAACACAAGUGGAUAUGGAAUACUUUUGUAGGAAGCUGCAAAUUUGACUUGGGACUUCGCAUGCCUUGUGAUUUGGAAAGUUAUGGCAUAUGCUGUUUCUGCUACUAAUACCACUAGCUACUGCUGUAUUAUUUUGACCAAAACAUGGUUAUCCAACAGUUGAAGAAUUUUUAUGUCUCAAAUAUCUGUCUUAAUAUAAAUAACUUCUUUGUUUUAAUGUCACCAGAAGACCAUAAUCUGUACAUAUGCUCACUAUUCUAUGUUAAUCCUGUCCUUGAGAAUAUAGAUAUGUCAUUCCUUCUGAUAAAGAAAUCAUUUUUAGUUGUGCUUUCAUAUGUAUUGGGUUCAAACUUUGAAAUGCUGUGUCUAUGAAAUGCGAAGCCCAAGAUUCGGUGAUUUUUAGAAUUGUGAUGCUACUCAGCACUUUUUUUCGGUUAUAUUGAUGCCUCUAUAGCAGACACUUGCUUUCAGUGGCAUAUGGUAGCACCAGCGCCCAUGGACAUGCAAGUUUAUAGCUUUCUAGGUGCCAGAGAUUUUGUGAAUAUGGUCGUGAUACUUGAAUUUGAGUACCUUCUGGUCAAUGACAUUUAUGUAUGUGGUUCUAUUUGCUUAUGACAUAUCUAGUAUAUAGUUCUAUUUGUGUUGUUUGACUGAUCUUGCAAAGCUACUUUCAUCCUGUGUGGAAGUGGUAACAUUUUUAGUUUAUAGUAAUCUCAAGAUCAGUGCAGGUUUUUCAACUUGGCGAAUAUGUUCUUCAUUAGUUCUUAUACUUCCUUUUUGUUUACACUUUUUUUUUCUUGUUUAAGAUUUUGUUGAUUUACCAGCGAAAAGCUUGCCCGAGUUCAUUCAUCAACGACUCCUUUAUAUUACUUAACUUUUGAAGUGCCUAACCUUAAUAUUAGAGAUGCACCCAAUUUAUGAUUCAUACCUUUGAGCAUGAUAUAUAGCUCAUUUAGAUGCUAUUCAACUAAUGCAACAUGGUGAUCAGGUUUGGUGCACCUGUUGAUUUUUCAUGGAUGCAACAUGCUAUGACUUGAGAAAAAGGAAAACUAGGAAUCUAUGUGCUUACAAGUGAAAUGUGAUGCAAAUUGCUAUACAACCUUUCUUUUGUUUUCCUCAGUCGCAACUUGAUGCAUAAGACCUUGAGCAAUAGACCUGCAUAACUCAAUUUUAAGAAUGAUAUUUUCAAUUGUAAGAAAUCAUACAUCAAGAAAAUGGUGGGACUUUCAACCAUGGUCCCUCUUGUAACGACAGUGCAGUAGUAGUUGGCUGAAUCCAUUGAGAGUCAAGCCGCCAUCGGAUGUCAGACCAUAUAGAUUGAUUUUGGCAAUAGUUCUCUCUUUUAUAUUUGGUGAUACUGGAUUGGGCCAUGCAGAUUUCCAAAACAAGGUUUAAAACCUUGAUUUGAAAUGGUUCUGUAAGAUAGAAGUUCGUGUUGUUUGCAUUGCAGAAAAUGCCCCGGCAAUAUCCUCCUGCAUUUCAUUGUGUCUAGUAGGCCUGAUCAUAUGUUUUGAAUAGCUCAUAUUUUAUGGCGCUUGAUAUGAUGUCUGUAAUGGAUGGUUAAAUCGAGGCUAACCAGGAAAAGUAUGUCUAAAAGUCAACACGGUGGGGCUGAUCCAGGAAAAGCAAACGAUAAGUUUUGUAUUCUGUUGUGGCUGUGAAAAGUGGAUGCGGCUGAGACCAAUUAGGUUGGCGUUGCUGUGCCGAUUGCAGUCGACAUCAAGAGGGAGUAGCAUCUACCAGAAAUCUUUGUCUCUAUUGGGCAAAGAUGGAUUCACGGCGUGCCUUUGUUCCCCUACAUGCAUUACAGGACUACAGGAGAUGAUGAAGACGACUCGAGCCAGGCCGUGCUUCUGCCGAGCCCGCAAAGGGGGUCCGGAGGAACUCUCAGAUCAAAUUUGGCAGCGGCGAACACCCGACCCAUGAGACAAAUCACCUGUCAUCCCGGUACGAGACAAGCACUCCGCUGCGCCAACCACAAUAAAAGCAGGGAGACCGAGACGAGAAAAGACAGAGAGAGAGAGAGAGAGAGAGAGAGAGGAAUCUCAUCGUCGCGGACGGUGACAACAUGAUAUGAGAGGAGGUGGGGAGGUCAGAGGGGGCACUGUCCCUCCCCACGUGUCUGGCGUCGUACGGGUCUGAUCGGAGAUGUACGCCCGCCUCCCGGUGGCUUUGAUGGGCGCGCAGCAGCGGUGGCGAAGCCUGUACGUAGCAUACGGCGUACACCUCCGCUUGAUGCACACCACCUGUUCGCUCCGUGACCGCGCAGAAACCGGCACCAAUCGAUGCCCCGUUACUGUUGUCAUUAUAGAUCGCCUAUUGCACCCACCGGCGUUGUGAUUGGACGCAACAUGCGGUCCCACGUGGAGCCCAACCAUGCCUUCGAUCAUAAGUCCCACCAGAUGGGUUGCUGCGGCGGCUGACCUUUUCCUGAGGAGUUGGAGGUCUCAGUGCCCACACGUUUCCUCAUCAUGAUAACCUGCAGAUCCCCAUAUCAGUUCAUAGCUCGUCACUGCUUCUUGGAGUGCAGACAGACGAGGUAACAAGCGUGUCUUCUUCACCUGCUUUUUAUUGUUCUGGCUCGGCUCUCCAUCUUGAAGAGAUUUCAGCUCGAAAUGCUCGAGCAUUUGAGGGAGGCGAUCGGGCACCGCCGCGAGAGGUCGGUGAUCGAUGCAGAAGCAAACGCCAAUGGGCAUUGCAUCGUUAGCCGAACUCACACGGCAAGCCAUUUGCACGGAUCACGAAGAGCAACACGGACUCCGAGGGCCGUGUCCUUAACGGAUGACCAUUUAGGAUUUGGUCGUUCGGGAUUAGUCUUCUUCCCAGCUCGGUCGUCUUGGAGAUGAGGAUGUUUGCCUACUUUUGGACGUGACAGUGAAGGCC